This 589-nucleotide ribosomal RNA is filed under the name uncultured bacterium. RNAcentral describes it as "bacterial SSU rRNA". The stretch from base 1 to 514 matches the Rfam family "Bacterial small subunit ribosomal RNA", at positions 338 to 873 of the family's 1533-position model. The record is from RNAcentral.
CCUACGGGAGGCAGCAGUGGGGAAUCUUGCGCAAUGGGCGAAAGCCUGACGCAGCCAUGCCGCGUGUAUGAUGAAGGUCUUAGGAUUGUAAAAUACUUUCACCGGUGAAGAUAAUGACUGUAGCCGGAGAAGAAGCCCCGGCUAACUUCGUGCCAGCAGCCGCGGUAAUACGAAGGGGGCUAGCGUUGCUCGGAAUUACUGGGCGUAAAGGGAGCGUAGGCGGACAUUUAAGUCAGAGGUGAAAUCCCGGAGCUUAACUUCGGAACUGCCUUUGAUACUGGGUGUCUUGAGUGUGAGAGAGGUAUGUGGAACUCCGAGUGUAGAGGUGAAAUUCGUAGAUAUUCGGAAGAACACCAGUGGCGAAGGCGACAUACUGGCUCAUUACUGACGCUGAGGCUCGAAAGCGUGGGGAGCAAACAGGAUUAGAUACCCUGGUAGUCCACGCCGUAAACGAUGAUUGCUAGUUGUCGGGAAGCUUGCUUCUCGGUGACGCNGCUACGCAUAGACAUCCGCCGUGGGAGGUACGGUCGCGAGAUAAACUUAACUAGAGUAGAGCGNGAGAGUGCGACGACGACGACGAGGGAGUAGG